CUACGGAUGUGAAGUCAUUGAUGCCAUGCUUCCAGGAAAAGCCUCUAAGCUUCAGAUUGUAAGGAAUCGUACCCCAAACCGACACAGGUGGUCGGGUAGAGAAUACCAAGGCGCUUGAGAGAACUCGGGUGAAGGAACUAGGCAAAAUGGUACCGUAACUUCGGGAGAAGGUACGCUCUCGACGGUGAAGUCCCUCGCGGAUGGAGCUAUUGAGAGUCGCAGAUACCAGGUGGCUGCAACUGUUUAUUAAAAACACAGCACUGUGCAAAAUCGCAAGAUGACGUAUACGGUGUGACGCCUGCCCGGUGCCGGAAGGUUAAUUGAUGGGGUUAGACUUCGGUCGAAGCUCUUGAUCGAAGCCCCGGUAAACGGCGGCCGUAACUAUAACGGUCCUAAGGUAGCGAAAUUCCUUGUCGGGUAAGUUCCGACCUGCACGAAUGGCGUAAUGAUGGCCACGCUGUCUCCACCCGAGACUCAGUGAAAUUGAAAUCGCUGUGAAGAUGCAGUGUACCCGCGGCUAGACGGAAAGACCCCGUGAACCUUUACUACAGCUUGGCACUGAACAUUGACCCUACAUGUGUAGGAUAGGUGGGAGGCUUUGAAGCGCAGUCGCUAGAUUGCGUGGAGCCGUCCUUGAAAUACCACCCUUGUAGUGUUGAUGUUCUAACGUCGACCCCUUAUCGGGGUUGCGGACAGUGCCUGGUGGGUAGUUUGACUGGGGCGGUCUCCUCCCAAAGCGUAACGGAGGAGCACGAAGGUGGGCUAAUCACGGUUGGACAUCGUGAGGUUAGUGCAAUGGCAUAAGCCCGCUUGACUGCGAGAAUGACAAUUCGAGCAGGUGCGAAAGCAGGUCAUAGUGAUCCGGUGGUUCUGAAUGGAAGGGCCAUCGCUCAACGGAUAAAAGGUACUCCGGGGAUAACAGGCUGAUACCGCCCAAGAGUUCAUAUCGACGGCGGUGUUUGGCACCUCGAUGUCGGCUCAUCACAUCCUGGGGCUGAAGUCGGUCCCAAGGGUAUGGCUGUUCGCCAUUUAAAGUGGUACGCGAGCUGGGUUUAGAACGUCGUGAGACAGUUCGGUCCCUAUCUGCCGUGGGCGUUGGAGAAUUGAAAGGGGCUGCUCCUAGUACGAGAGGACCGGAGUGGACGAACCUCUGGUGUUCGGGUUGUGUCGCCAGACGCAUUGCCCGGUAGCUAAGUUCGGGAUCGAUAACCGCUGAAAGCAUCUAAGCGGGAAGCGAGCCUUGAGAUGAGUUCUCCCUGAUACUUUAAGUAUCCUAAAGGGUUGUCGUAGACUACGACGUUGAUAGGCAGGGUGUGUAAGCGUUGUGAGGCGUUGAGCUAACCUGUACUAAUUGCCCGUGAGGCUUAACCAU
RNAcentral lists this ribosomal RNA (1372 nucleotides) under Vibrio alginolyticus. RNAcentral's name for it is "partial 23S ribosomal RNA". It matches the Rfam family "Bacterial large subunit ribosomal RNA", at positions 1577 to 2925 of the family's 2925-position model. Lineage: Bacteria; Pseudomonadati; Pseudomonadota; Gammaproteobacteria; Vibrionales; Vibrionaceae. The record is from RNAcentral.